Molecule: ribosomal RNA, 1337 nt
Filed under: metagenome
Description: bacterial SSU rRNA
Rfam family: Bacterial small subunit ribosomal RNA
Source: RNAcentral
UGCAAGUCGAACGAACCUUCGGGUUAGUGGCGGACGGGUGAGUAACGCGUGGGAACCUGCCCUCAGGAGGGGGAUAACGGUUGGAAACGGCCGCUAAUACCCCAUAUGCCGAGAGGUGAAAUGAAUUUCGCCUGAGGAUGGGCCCGCGUCUGAUUAGCUAGUUGGUGGGGUAAGAGCCUACCAAGGCGACGAUCAGUAGCUGGUCUGAGAGGAUGAUCAGCCACACUGGGACUGAGACACGGCCCAGACUCCUACGGGAGGCAGCAGUGGGGAAUUUUCCGCAAUGGGCGAAAGCCUGACGGAGCAACGCCGCGUGAGGGAUGAAGGCCUCUGGGCUGUAAACCUCUUUUCUCAAGGAAGAAGACCUGACGGUACUUGAGGAAUAAGCCACGGCUAAUUCCGUGCCAGCAGCCGCGGUAAUACGGGAGUGGCAAGCGUUAUCCGGAAUUAUUGGGCGUAAAGCGUCCGCAGGUGGCCCUGUAAGUCUGUCGCUAAAGCGUGGAGCUUAACUCCAUUUAAGCGAUGGAAACUACAGGGCUAGAGUGUGGCAGGGGCAGAGGGAAUUCCCGGUGUAGCGGUGAAGUGCGUAGAUAUCGGGAAGAACACCAGUGGCGAAGGCGCUCUGCUGGGCCAUCACUGACACUCAUGGACGAAAGCCAGGGGAGCGAAAGGGAUUAGAUACCCCUGUAGUCCUGGCCGUAAACGAUGAACACUAGGUGUCGGGGGAAUCGACCCCCUCGGUGUCGUAGCCAACGCGUUAAGUGUUCCGCCUGGGGAGUACGCACGCAAGUGUGAAACUCAAAGGAAUUGACGGGGGCCCGCACAAGCGGUGGAGUAUGUGGUUUAAUUCGAUGCAACGCGAAGAACCUUACCAGGGUUUGACAUCCUGCGAAUCCCUUGGAAACGAGGGAGUGCCUUCGGGAGCGCAGAGACAGGUGGUGCAUGGCUGUCGUCAGCUCGUGUCGUGAGAUGUUGGGUUAAGUCCCGCAACGAGCGCAACCCACGUCGUUAGUUGCCAGCAUUCAGUUGGGCACUCUAGCGAGACCGCCGGUGAUAAACCGGAGGAAGGUGUGGAUGACGUCAAGUCAUCAUGCCCCUUACAUCCUGGGCUACACACGUACUACAAUGCUACGGACAAAGGGCAGCAAGCUCGCGAGAGUUAGCAAAUCCCAUAAACCGUGGCUCAGUUCAGAUCGUAGGCUGCAACUCGCCUACGUGAAGGAGGAAUCGCUAGUAAUCGCAGGUCAGCAUACUGCGGUGAAUACGUUCCCGGGCCUUGUACACACCGCCCGUCACACCAUGGAAGUUGGCCACGCCCGAAGUCGUAACUCCAACCC